Molecule: transfer RNA, 65 nt
Filed under: Marmota monax (woodchuck)
Lineage: Eukaryota; Metazoa; Chordata; Mammalia; Rodentia; Sciuridae
Description: tRNA.Ile
Source: RNAcentral
AGUAUAGCUCAGUGGUAAAGCACUUGCCUAAUAUGUGUGAGGCCCUGGGUUCAAUUCUCAAUCUA